UCAAGCUAGCGACAAUGG
This 18-nucleotide small RNA is filed under the name Arabidopsis thaliana (thale cress). RNAcentral's name for it is "ATSL240510". Lineage: Eukaryota; Viridiplantae; Streptophyta; Magnoliopsida; Brassicales; Brassicaceae. The record is from RNAcentral.